Molecule: ribosomal RNA, 490 nt
Filed under: uncultured bacterium
Lineage: Bacteria
Description: partial 16S ribosomal RNA
Rfam family: Bacterial small subunit ribosomal RNA
Source: RNAcentral
GAUGAACGUUCGCGAUAGGCUUAACACAUGCAAGUCGAGGGGCAGCAUGGUCUUAGCUUGCUAAGACUGAUGGCGACCGGCGCACGGGUGCGUAACGCGUAUGCAACUUGCCUCACAGAGGGGGAUAACCCGUCGAAAGACGGACUAAUACCGCGUACACUCCAUCUUGGGCAUCCAAGGUAGAGGAAAUGAAAUUCGCUGUGAGAUAGGCAUGCGUCCCAUUAGCUAGUUGGUGAGGUAACGGCUCACCAAGGCGACGAUGGGUAGGGGAACUGAGAGGUUGAACCCCCACACUGGUACUGAGACACGGACCAGACUCCUACGGGAGGCAGCAGUGAGGAAUAUUGGUCAAUGGGCGAGAGCCUGAACCAGCCAAGUCGCGUGAAGGAUGACUGUCUUAUGGAUGGUAAACUUCUUUUAUACGGGAAUAACAAGAGUCACGUGUGACUCCCUGCAUGUACCGUAUGAAUAAGCAUCGGCUAACUCCGUG